Molecule: transfer RNA, 71 nt
Filed under: Loxodonta africana (African savanna elephant)
Lineage: Eukaryota; Metazoa; Chordata; Mammalia; Proboscidea; Elephantidae
Rfam family: tRNA
About the family: Transfer RNA (tRNA) molecules are approximately 80 nucleotides in length. Their secondary structure includes four short double-helical elements and three loops (D, anti-codon, and T loops). Further hydrogen bonds mediate the characteristic L-shaped molecular structure. tRNAs have two regions of fundamental functional importance: the anti-codon, which is responsible for specific mRNA codon recognition, and the 3' end, to which the tRNAs corresponding amino acid is attached (by aminoacyl-tRNA synthetases). tRNAs cope with the degeneracy of the genetic code in two manners: having more than one tRNA (with a specific anti-codon) for a particular amino acid; and 'wobble' base-pairing, i.e. permitting non-standard base-pairing at the 3rd anti-codon position.
Source: Rfam by way of RNAcentral
GCAUUGGUGGUUCCGUGGAAAAUUCUCGCCUUCCAUGCGGGGAAAUCCGGGUUCGAUUCCCAGGCAAUGCA